RNAcentral lists this ribosomal RNA (253 nucleotides) under uncultured microorganism. RNAcentral's name for it is "partial 16S ribosomal RNA". It matches the Rfam family "Bacterial small subunit ribosomal RNA", at positions 524 to 776 of the family's 1533-position model. The record is from RNAcentral.
UACGGAGGGGGCAAGCGUUGUUCGGAGUUACUGGGCGUAAAGCGCGCGCAGGCGGCCCGUUAAGACAGGUGUGAAAUCCCUGGGCUCAACCUAGGAAUUGCGCUUGUGACUGGCGGGCUCGAGUACGGUAGAGGGGGGUGGAAUUCCUGGUGUAGCAGUGAAAUGCGUAGAGAUCAGGAGGAACACCGAUGGCGAAGGCAGCCCCCUGGGCCUGUACUGACGCUCAUGCACGAAAGCGUGGGGAGCAAACAGG